RNAcentral lists this ribosomal RNA (251 nucleotides) under uncultured Lactobacillus sp. RNAcentral's name for it is "partial 16S ribosomal RNA". It matches the Rfam family "Bacterial small subunit ribosomal RNA", at positions 111 to 353 of the family's 1533-position model. The record is from RNAcentral. Lineage: Bacteria; Bacillati; Bacillota; Bacilli; Lactobacillales; Lactobacillaceae.
UAACACUGGGGAACCUGCCCCAUAGUCUGGGAUACCACUUGGAAACAGGUGCUAAUACCGGAUAAGAAAGCGGAUCGCAUGAUCAGCUUUUAAAAGGCGGCGUAAGCUGUCGCUAUGGGAUGGCCCCGCGGCGCAUUAGCUAGUUGGUAAGGUAAAGGCUUACCAAGGCGAUGAUGCAUAGCCGAGUUGAGAGACUGAUCGGCCACAUUGGGACUGAGACACGGCCCAAACUCCUACGGGAGGCAGCAACG